Molecule: ribosomal RNA, 745 nt
Filed under: uncultured bacterium
Lineage: Bacteria
Description: bacterial SSU rRNA
Rfam family: Bacterial small subunit ribosomal RNA
Source: RNAcentral
ACGCUGGCGGCAGGCCUAACACAUGCAAGUCGAGCGGAUGAGAGGAGCUUGCUCUUGGAUUCAGCGGCGGACGGGUGAGUAAUGCCUAGGAAUCUGCCUGGUAGUGGGGGACAACGUUUCGAAAGGAACGCUAAUACCGCAUACGUCCUACGGGAGAAAGCAGGGGACCUUCGGGCCUUGCGCUAUCAGAUGAGCCUAGGUCGGAUUAGCUAGUUGGUGAGGUAAUGGCUCACCAAGGCGACGAUCCGUAACUGGUCUGAGAGGAUGAUCAGUCACACUGGAACUGAGACACGGUCCAGACUCCUACGGGAGGCAGCAGUGGGGAAUAUUGGACAAUGGGCGAAAGCCUGAUCCAGCCAUGCCGCGUGUGUGAAGAAGGUCUUCGGAUUGUAAAGCACUUUAAGUUGGGAGGAAGGGCAGUAAAUUAAUACUUUGCUGUUUUGACGUUACCGACAGAAUAAGCACCGGCUAACUCUGUGCCAGCAGCCGCGGUAAUACAGAGGGUGCAAGCGUUAAUCGGAAUUACUGGGCGUAAAGCGCGCGUAGGUGGUUCGUUAAGUUGGAUGUGAAAUCCCCGGGCUCAACCUGGGAACUGCAUUCAAAACUGUCGAGCUAGAGUAUGGUAGAGGGUGGUGGAAUUUCCUGUGUAGCGGUGAAAUGCGUAGAUAUAGGAAGGAACACCAGUGGCGAAGGCGACCACCUGGACUGAUACUGACACUGAGGUGCGAAAGCGUGGGGAGCAAAC